GGGACAGUAACUCAGUUGGGAGAGUGCCAGACUGAAGAUCUGGAAGUCGCCGGUUCAAGCCCGGCCUGUCCCACCA
This 76-nucleotide transfer RNA is filed under the name Methanobacteriota archaeon. Its description in RNAcentral is "Euryarchaeota archaeon tRNA-Phe". It matches the Rfam family "tRNA". From Rfam's summary of the family: Transfer RNA (tRNA) molecules are approximately 80 nucleotides in length. RNAcentral also lists the same sequence under 2 other names. The record is from RNAcentral. Lineage: Archaea; Methanobacteriati; Methanobacteriota.